ACUGGGACUGCGGCCUAGGCGGGCGAGGCUGAACUGUUCCCGCGGAGCGUUCUUAGCGUCUCCCAGUCUUCCAGCAACCGCUGACGCGACCCGCGUGCGGCCGACCACUGGCCAACCCGGGAGAGCAGGGCUACAGCGUGAUCCCCUAUCCCGAGGCGCCUCCCAGCUCUCCCCACUCGGCGGCCGCGCGCUCCGCCAGCUUCUUCUCUCCUUCCCCGCCCCAGCCCCGCAAAUCCGGGGGUCGGCGAGCCGGCUGAGUGGGAGACGCGCGGUGUCCGAGGAGCCAGGCGGCGACCGAUUUCCCGCCGGGCAUAGACCCUUUCCUUCCAGGCAAGCUCCAGCAUGGGGUGAGGUACAGAAGAGAGACCAGAAGCAUACAGCCUGGCUGGCACUCAAGCAACAAACCUGCACCCUAGACCGGGCUCUCUUACGCCACAUCUGUAAUGGGGGGAAGUGGGCGGAGCACAUCCUGCUCCAGAAGCACAGGAAGGGAGCAUCCUGCAUCCGCCACUCCCGUCCAGUGCGGAGGGGAGCAGAA
Vicugna pacos (alpaca) is the source of this 538-nucleotide non-coding RNA. Lineage: Eukaryota; Metazoa; Chordata; Mammalia; Artiodactyla; Camelidae. The record is from RefSeq and is a predicted model, not a curated record.